GCGGGAAGAGCUCAAAUUUGAAAUCUGGUAGCCUUCGGUUGCCCGAGUUGUAAUCUAGAGAAGUGUUUUCCGUGCCGGCCCAUGUACAAGUCCCUUGGAACAGGGCGUCAUAGAGGGUGAGAAUCCCGUCCUUGACAUGGACCCCCGGUGCUUUGUGAUACACUUUCAACGAGUCGAGUUGUUUGGGAAUGCAGCUCAAAAUGGGUGGUGAAUUCCAUCUAAAGCUAAAUAUUGGCGAGAGACCGAUAGCGAACAAGUACCGUGAGGGAAAGAUGAAAAGCACUUUGGAAAGAGAGUUAAACAGUACGUGAAAUUGUUGAAAGGGAAACGAUUGAAGUCAGUCAUGCUCUUGGGACUUACCUCCCUUGAGUGGGGUCAACAUCAGUUUUGAUCGAUGGAUAAAGGCACGGGGAAGGUAGCACUCUCGGGUGAACUUAUAGCCUCGCGUCAUAUACAUUGAUUGGGACUGAGGAACGCAGCAUGCCUUAUGGCCGGGAUUCGUCCACGUACAUGCUUAGGAUGUUGACAUAAUGGCUUUAAACGACCCGUCUU
This 552-nucleotide ribosomal RNA is filed under the name Naganishia albida. RNAcentral's name for it is "eukaryotic LSU rRNA". It matches the Rfam family "Eukaryotic large subunit ribosomal RNA", at positions 98 to 655 of the family's 3401-position model. Lineage: Eukaryota; Fungi; Basidiomycota; Tremellomycetes; Filobasidiales; Filobasidiaceae. The record is from RNAcentral.